RNAcentral lists this unclassified non-coding RNA (473 nucleotides) under Hevea brasiliensis (rubber tree). Lineage: Eukaryota; Viridiplantae; Streptophyta; Magnoliopsida; Malpighiales; Euphorbiaceae. The record is from RNAcentral.
AGGUUUGAGUCAAUGGGCUACACAGAGCACCAAUAAAAAUUAUCAGACAGGGACUAAGUAAUAAUCAUAUUAUUAACAAUGACUAAUGUCGCACGUAGAAAAUACAUUUUCGGAUGUCAGUUUUUAAGAAUUAUGCAUUACCAUUAUCAAACGCAAAAUAAUAACUCAUAUCCUUUAAGCAUAAAUGCAUUUAUACACUGGUCAUCAAUUUUCACUUCCAGUUUCAUACCUCCAUUACAGCUAAAAAAUUACUUAAAAAAGUAUUUCUAGUCCAAUUAUUUUAAAGCAUACAAUCUGAUCUGAUGAGUUUGAUGCGGUGAUACUAAGAUCAUUUUUAUAACUAUGAAGUCUGAAACUUUCAUUAUCCAGAUCAAAGAUCAUGUUAGUUUAAAGCACCGAAACUUAAUUUGGGCCAAACAGGCCAUGCUAGAACAGAACAUAGAUAUGAAAAGCAAGAGAUCGAAGCUGUGAUA